This is a long non-coding RNA of Quercus lobata, 1146 nucleotides long. RefSeq lists it as uncharacterized. The transcript has 4 exons. Lineage: Eukaryota; Viridiplantae; Streptophyta; Magnoliopsida; Fagales; Fagaceae. The record is from RefSeq and is a predicted model, not a curated record.
AUUUGUUAGAUUAAUCCAUUCAUGAUAACAUACAUACUCAUUCCGUUUCUCAGCAUUUCUUUUAACCUUCACUUAUUGGUGUCAAAUUGAUUAUGUCCAUUGAUGAAAGCAUACUUAUUCUUUUCAAUUUCAUGAGCUGGAAUUCUGAUAAUACAUGGAGCAGUUCUUGUUUUUAGGUCUUUGUAAAAGUUGGAAAUAGAUUUUGUUAAUUUGGGCUGCAGGGUCAUAAUUCCAAUGUUUAUUUGAGUGAAUUUAUUGUGAGAAAGUGGAGUUGGGUUGCACAAGGAUGAGAUGAGACAUUGGGUGGGAGAAGGUUUUGUGGAUUUUUGUUUUCAUGUUUGGGCUGGAAGGUCAAUUUUACUGGUCCAUGAAGUUAUGUGAUCCCCAGUUUUACUAGUGGAAGCAAAGCUAAACUUUCUUGUAAAGUUUUAGACAGCACUGAAGGAAGGUGUUGAUGAUUCUAAUAUAUUUAUAUAUCAUUUUUGACUUUUGAAGGUUGCUAACACAUUUAAAAUUUUUCAGCUAACUCAUGAAGCUUGCAAGAAGAUUCCAUCUUGGAAAAUAACCAACUCAAUGACAACUGACGCCAAGGAGAUAAAAGAAGCAACAAAACCAACAUAAAUUUGAAGGCAUAAAUACACUAUGACAAUGGCUCUACUUGACUAUGCAAAGAUAUGGAGACAACACUAAAAUUCCUACCUGCCCUCUUCGAAGCUUCUCCAAGGGAAUUCCAACCAUGCCAUCUUGGUUUAAGCAUCCUACAUAAACUUGUGUCUUGGUCCUAGUGGUAGAGAGGCUUCCGGUUCAAAGUGGUUGGCCUACGUCCUCAUCUCCAUUUGGAAAGGAUCAUGACCUAGAAGAAGGAACAUGUUCACCAUUACAAGAAAAGAGUUCCCACAAAAUUGAAGGACAAGGUCAAGGAUUUGAGACAUACUCUCAGCAUGAAGAAACAUAAUCAGGAUGUUAGCACCACACCCAUCUUGGGAUGUCAGGUUGGAUGAUGAUAAAGUUGAAGAAGAUGCUGUUUUCUUUGGAGCCCCAACAUUGAAUCAAAGCUGGCUCCUGAGGGGUUCAAGGAAAACCACCAGACAUAAUCCAAGAGCAAUACAUAAGAAUUUCGGGAAGCAUGUUUUGUCAAUCACUAUC